This is a long non-coding RNA of Bos taurus (domestic cattle), 316 nucleotides long. The record is from Ensembl. NCBI's taxonomy places the organism in Eukaryota, Metazoa, Chordata, Mammalia, Artiodactyla, Bovidae.
UGGUAUUUGAAGAAAAGAAGCAAAGGGGCAGUAAAGAGAGGAGAGGAGGGAAGGAAGUAGGAGGUGAAGAACAGGCAGAUGCCCUGGAGCUCCAGUCUGUCUUCAGAAGGACUGGAAUCAAGGGUGCCACUGAAGGAGGUCAUGGAGCAAGGAAGGUAAUGUCAAGCCACAUCAGAGUUCAUCAGGGAUGAGAUACCUGUCAAGGAUUUGUGGCAGAGUGGCACACUGGAAUAAAAACACAGAAUCUCUUAUAAGGGUCGUAUAAGAACAAAUGAGAUAAUUCCCAGAAUUGGCCUGGAGUUUUUUCCGGAAAAAG